UAUUUUUUUUCCUUGUUUUAUUAUUUUUCCUGUUAAUAUAUAUAUAUAAUGUCAUACAUUUGGAUCGGAUUUAAACUGGAUAUACAUGUGGAGGAUUAUCAUUUAUUUCAGAUCCGAAAAUGUUAAUUUACAAUGCCUUUCAUUUUAUCCUUCAUCGUGUAGGAGAUGCUAUAUCUCAUGCAUUUCUAGUUCUUUGAUUCAUUAGGCAAGCCUUACCGUUUAUGGAUCGAUUUAUGUCUAAAUGCCAAGUUUUUUUUUU
RNAcentral lists this unclassified non-coding RNA (259 nucleotides) under Hevea brasiliensis (rubber tree). Lineage: Eukaryota; Viridiplantae; Streptophyta; Magnoliopsida; Malpighiales; Euphorbiaceae. The record is from RNAcentral.